Molecule: ribosomal RNA, 392 nt
Filed under: uncultured bacterium
Lineage: Bacteria
Description: partial 16S ribosomal RNA
Rfam family: Bacterial small subunit ribosomal RNA
Source: RNAcentral
AUACGGAGGAUGCGAGCGUUAUCCGGAUUUAUUGGGUUUAAAGGGAGCGUAGGCGGGAGCUUAAGUCAGCGGUUAAAUGGUGCGGCUCAACCGUGCCCUGCCGUUGAAACUGGGUUUCUUGAGAGUGCAAGAGGCGGAUGGAAUUCAUGGUGUAGCGGUGAAAUGCUUAGAUAUCAUGAAGAACUCCGAUUGCGAAGGCAGUCCGCUGAGGCACGUCUGACGCUGAUGCUCGAAGGCGCGGGAAUCAAACAGGAUUAGAUACCCUGGUAGUCCGCACGGUAAACGAUGAUUACCCGCUGUCGGCGGCAGACAGUCGGCGGCCAAGCGAAAGCGAUAAGUAAUCCACCUGGGGAGUACGCCGGCAACGGUGAAACUCAAAUGAAUUGACGGGG